GACGAACGCUGGCGGCGUGCCUAAUACAUGCAAGUAGAACGCUGAGGAGAGGAGCUUGCUCUUCUUGGAUGAGUUGCGAACGGGUGAGUAACGCGUAGGUAACCUGCCUUGUAGCGGGGGAUAACUAUUGGAAACGAUAGCUAAUACCGCAUAACAAUGGAUGACACAUGUCAUUUAUUUGAAAGGGGCAAUUGCUCCACUACAAGAUGGACCUGCGUUGUAUUAGCUAGUAGGUGAGGUAAUGGCUCACCUAGGCGACGAUACAUAGCCGACCUGAGAGGGUGAUCGGCCACACUGGGACUGAGACACGGCCCAGACUCCUACGGGAGGCAGCAGUAGGGAAUCUUCGGCAAUGGGGGCAACCCUGACCGAGCAACGCCGCGUGAGUGAAGAAGGUUUUCGGAUCGUAAAGCUCGGUUGUAAGUCAAGAACGGGUGUGAGAGUGGAAAGUUCACACUGUGACGGUAGCUUACCAGAAAGGGACGGCUAACUACGUG
This 497-nucleotide ribosomal RNA is filed under the name uncultured bacterium. RNAcentral describes it as "partial 16S ribosomal RNA". It matches the Rfam family "Bacterial small subunit ribosomal RNA", at positions 28 to 507 of the family's 1533-position model. The record is from RNAcentral.